GAGGAGCUUGCUCCUCUGGAUCAGUGGCGAACGGGUGAGUAACACGUGAGUAACCUGCCCAUGACUCUGGGAUAAGCGUUGGAAACGACGUCUAAUACCGGAUACGAGCUUCGGAGGCAUCUCCAGGAGCUGGAAAGAACUUCGGUCAUGGAUGGACUCGCGGCCUAUCAGCUAGUUGGUGAGGUAACGGCUCACCAAGGCGACGACGGGUAGCCGGCCUGAGAGGGUGACCGGCCACACUGGGACUGAGACACGGCCCAGACUCCUACGGGAGGCAGCAGUGGGGAAUAUUGCACAAUGGGCGCAAGCCUGAUGCAGCAACGCCGCGUGAGGGACGACGGCCUUCGGGUUGUAAACCUCUUUUAGUAGGGAAGAAGCGAAAGUGACGGUACCUGCAGAAAAAGCACCGGCUAACUACGUGCCAGCAGCCGCGGUAAUACGUAGGGUGCAAGCGUUAUCCGGAAUUAUUGGGCGUAAAGAGCUCGUAGGCGGUUUGUCGCGUCUGCUGUGAAAACUGGAGGCUCAACCUCCAGCUUGCAGUGGGUACGGGCAAACUAGAGUGCGGUAGGGGAGAUUGGAAUUCCUGGUGUAGCGGUGGAAUGCGCAGAUAUCAGGAGGAACACCGAUGGCGAAG
RNAcentral lists this ribosomal RNA (634 nucleotides) under Homoserinibacter sp. Its description in RNAcentral is "bacterial SSU rRNA". It matches the Rfam family "Bacterial small subunit ribosomal RNA", at positions 73 to 720 of the family's 1533-position model. Lineage: Bacteria; Bacillati; Actinomycetota; Actinomycetes; Micrococcales; Microbacteriaceae. The record is from RNAcentral.